Molecule: ribosomal RNA, 506 nt
Filed under: uncultured bacterium
Lineage: Bacteria
Description: partial 16S ribosomal RNA
Rfam family: Bacterial small subunit ribosomal RNA
Source: RNAcentral
GAUGAACGCUGGCGGUAGGCCUAACACAUGCAAGUCGAACGGCAGCACAGAGGAGCUUGCUCCUUGGGUGGCGAGUGACGGACGGGUGAGGAAUACAUCGGAAUCUACUCUGUCGUGGGUGAUAACGUAGGGAAACUUACGCUAAUACCGCAUACGACCUACGGGUGAAAGCAGGGGACCUUCGGGCCUUGCGCGAUUGAAUGAGCCGAUGUCGGAUUAGCUAGUUGGCGGGGUAAAGGCCCACCAAGGCGACGAUCCGUAGCUGGUCUGAGAGGAUGAUGAGCCACACUGGAACUGAGACACGCUCCAGACUCCUACGGGAGGCAGCAGUGGGGAAUAUUGGACAAUGGGCGCAAGCCUGAUCCAGCCAUACCGCGUGGGUGAAGAAGGCCUUCGGGUUGUAAAGCCCUUUUGUUGGGAAAGAAAUCCAGCUGGCUAAUACCCGGUUGGGAUGGCGGUACCCAAAGAAUAAGCACCGGCUAACUUCGUGCCAGCCGCCGCCGUAA